RNAcentral lists this ribosomal RNA (253 nucleotides) under uncultured bacterium. RNAcentral describes it as "partial 16S ribosomal RNA". It matches the Rfam family "Bacterial small subunit ribosomal RNA", at positions 524 to 776 of the family's 1533-position model. The record is from RNAcentral.
UACGGGGGGGGCAAGCGUUGUUCGGAAUUACUGGGCGUAAAGGGUUCGUAGGUGGCUUGCUAAGUCAGACGUGAAAUCCCUCAGCUUAACUGGGGAACUGCGUCUGAGACUGGCAAGCUUGAGUGCAGGAGAGGAACGCGGAAUUCCAGGUGUAGCGGUGAAAUGCGUAGAUAUCUGGAGGAACACCGGUGGCGAAGGCGGCCUGCUGGGCAGUAGCUGACACUGAGGCGCGACAGCGUGGGGAGCAAACAGG